RNAcentral lists this ribosomal RNA (2470 nucleotides) under Enterobacter cloacae subsp. cloacae. RNAcentral's name for it is "partial 23S ribosomal RNA". It matches the Rfam family "Bacterial large subunit ribosomal RNA", at positions 391 to 2839 of the family's 2925-position model. Lineage: Bacteria; Pseudomonadati; Pseudomonadota; Gammaproteobacteria; Enterobacterales; Enterobacteriaceae. The record is from RNAcentral.
CACAGGCUGUGAACUCGAAGAGUAGGGCGGGACACGUGGUAUCCUGUCUGAAUAUGGGGGGACCAUCCUCCAAGGCUAAAUACUCCUGACUGACCGAUAGUGAACCAGUACCGUGAGGGAAAGGCGAAAAGAACCCCGGCGAGGGGAGUGAAAAAGAACCUGAAACCGUGUACGUACAAGCAGUGGGAGCACCUUCGGGUGUGACUGCGUACCUUUUGUAUAAUGGGUCAGCGACUUAUAUUCUGUAGCAAGGUUAACCGUAUAGGGGAGCCGAAGGGAAACCGAGUCUUAACUGGGCGUUAAGUUGCAGGGUAUAGACCCGAAACCCGGUGAUCUAGCCAUGGGCAGGUUGAAGGUUGGGUAACACUAACUGGAGGACCGAACCGACUAAUGUUGAAAAAUUAGCGGAUGACCUGUGGCUGGGGGUGAAAGGCCAAUCAAACCGGGAGAUAGCUGGUUCUCCCCGAAAGCUAUUUAGGUAGCGCCUCGUGAAUUCAUCUUCGGGGGUAGAGCACUGUUUCGGCUAGGGGGCCAUCCCGGCUUACCAACCCGAUGCAAACUACGAAUACCGAAGAAUGUUAUCACGGGAGACACACGGCGGGUGCUAACGUCCGUCGUGAAGAGGGAAACAACCCAGACCGCCAGCUAAGGUCCCAAAGUCAUGGUUAAGUGGGAAACGAUGUGGGAAGGCCCAGACAGCCAGGAUGUUGGCUUAGAAGCAGCCAUCAUUUAAAGAAAGCGUAAUAGCUCACUGGUCGAGUCGGCCUGCGCGGAAGAUGUAACGGGGCUAAACCAUGCACCGAAGCUGCGGCAGCGACGCUUAUGCGUUGUUGGGUAGGGGAGCGUUCUGUAAGCCGUUGAAGGUGGCCUGUGAGGGCUGCUGGAGGUAUCAGAAGUGCGAAUGCUGACAUAAGUAACGAUAAAGCGGGUGAAAAGCCCGCUCGCCGGAAGACCAAGGGUUCCUGUCCAACGUUAAUCGGGGCAGGGUGAGUCGACCCCUAAGGCGAGGCCGAAAGGCGUAGUCGAUGGGAAACAGGUUAAUAUUCCUGUACUUGGUGUUACUGCGAAGGGGGGACGGAGAAGGCUAUGUUAGCCGGGCGACGGUUGUCCCGGUUUAAGCAUGUAGGCGGAGGUUCCAGGUAAAUCCGGUACCUUUUUAACGCUGAGGUGUGAUGACGAGGCACUACGGUGCUGAAGUAACAAAUGCCCUGCUUCCAGGAAAAGCCUCUAAGCAUCAGGUAACACGAAAUCGUACCCCAAACCGACACAGGUGGUCAGGUAGAGAAUACCAAGGCGCUUGAGAGAACUCGGGUGAAGGAACUAGGCAAAAUGGUGCCGUAACUUCGGGAGAAGGCACGCUGAUAUGUAGGUGAAGCCCCUGCGGGUGGAGCUGAAAUCAGUCGAAGAUACCAGCUGGCUGCAACUGUUUAUUAAAAACACAGCACUGUGCAAACACGAAAGUGGACGUAUACGGUGUGACGCCUGCCCGGUGCCGGAAGGUUAAUUGAUGGGGUUAGCGGCAACGCGAAGCUCUUGAUCGAAGCCCCGGUAAACGGCGGCCGUAACUAUAACGGUCCUAAGGUAGCGAAAUUCCUUGUCGGGUAAGUUCCGACCUGCACGAAUGGCGUAAUGAUGGCCAGGCUGUCUCCACCCGAGACUCAGUGAAAUUGAACUCGCUGUGAAGAUGCAGUGUACCCGCGGCAAGACGGAAAGACCCCGUGAACCUUUACUAUAGCUUGACACUGAACACUGGUCCUUGAUGUGUAGGAUAGGUGGGAGGCUUUGAAGCGUGGACGCCAGUCUGCGUGGAGCCGUCCUUGAAAUACCACCCUUUAAUGGCUGGUGUUCUAACGUAGACCCGUAAUCCGGGUUGCGGACAGUGUCUGGUGGGUAGUUUGACUGGGGCGGUCUCCUCCCAAAGAGUAACGGAGGAGCACGAAGGUUAGCUAAUCCUGGUCGGACAUCAGGAGGUUAGUGCAAUGGCAUAAGCUAGCUUGACUGCGAGAGUGACGGCUCGAGCAGGUGCGAAAGCAGGUCAUAGUGAUCCGGUGGUUCUGAAUGGAAGGGCCAUCGCUCAACGGAUAAAAGGUACUCCGGGGAUAACAGGCUGAUACCGCCCAAGAGUUCAUAUCGACGGCGGUGUUUGGCACCUCGAUGUCGGCUCAUCACAUCCUGGGGCUGAAGUAGGUCCCAAGGGUAUGGCUGUUCGCCAUUUAAAGUGGUACGCGAGCUGGGUUUAGAACGUCGUGAGACAGUUCGGUCCCUAUCUGCCGUGGGCGCUGGAGAAUUGAGGGGGGCUGCUCCUAGUACGAGAGGACCGGAGUGGACGCAUCACUGGUGUUCGGGUUGUCAUGCCAAUGGCACUGCCCGGUAGCUAAAUGCGGAAGAGAUAAGUGCUGAAAGCAUCUAAGCACGAAACUUGCCCCGAGAUGAGUUCUCCCUGAGACUUAAAGUCUCCUGAAGGAACGUU